This is a long non-coding RNA of Wasmannia auropunctata (little fire ant), 731 nucleotides long. RefSeq lists it as uncharacterized. The record is from RefSeq and is a predicted model, not a curated record. Lineage: Eukaryota; Metazoa; Arthropoda; Insecta; Hymenoptera; Formicidae. The transcript has 3 exons.
CUUUGUGACGCGUCAGGCGCGACCAUCGAUCUGGGAACGACACUCUAUUUUAUUCACGGACCCGCUUCUAUUUUCAGAGCAUUUUCAGACGACUGAAGAUAUAAAUUGUUAUUAAAAAGAGUUAACGUCGAUGAUUUACAAGAUGUUUUGACAGAUAUCCGGUUCCCGUUCUAGUAGUUUGUCGCUGCUACAACUGCUCCUUCAUAUUUUUCAUUGUCUCGACUUCAAUGCUAAUCGCGCGACGGCCACAUAACGGAUGCACGUGACGAACAUGCGUGUGAUUUUCAUGCACGGAGUCUAACGGGACUAAAUCAGAAAGCGAAUGGCUUCCACGUCUCCCGUCUUCUCAUCGAACGAGGGAGUGGUUCUAGUUCGCCAGUGCGCACACGUGGUGAAACGCACUCUCCGUAAAUAUUUCUUCAACUGAAGGCUCCCCGUCCCUAGCGCCGAAGAAGCGCCGAGCGAAACUGGUAGCUGUCUCUCAGUGUUAGCGUUCGUUAAAGUCAUCGCGCGAAGAAAUUAACUCGCGGAAGUGGAUGAGGAUUCGCCAAAGUGUCGGAAGCGCGUUUCUGUUAAAAACAUUAAAAUAGGUUUCUAAAUAAUUCCAGCGGAGAAGGGUGAAACUGCGAAAUCUCCAAACACAAAUUUUUAAUUUCCAAUUCGUAUGUACUUCUCCUCAAAUUUCAUCUCUCGAUAAACUAGUGUUUCAUUAAAGCGGCGAAGUAAUCGAA